CACUCAUCCAGAGGGGCAGAGGGACACGGCCCGACGAAGCCCCGGCAACCGCCGCACCGCGCGUCAGCGCAGCGGAAGGUGCCAAUUCCGUCCCGCGCGGCUCGACGGCCCGAUGCGGGGAAGAUGAGGA
This is a regulatory RNA element of Geodermatophilus obscurus DSM 43160, 130 nucleotides long. It matches the Rfam family "SAM riboswitch aptamer (S box leader)". Rfam says of the family: The SAM riboswitch is found upstream of a number of genes which code for proteins involved in methionine or cysteine biosynthesis in Gram-positive bacteria. The SAM riboswitch acts at the level of transcription termination control. The predicted structure consists of a complex stem-loop region followed by a single stem loop terminator region. NCBI's taxonomy places the organism in Bacteria, Bacillati, Actinomycetota, Actinomycetes, Geodermatophilales, Geodermatophilaceae. The record is from Rfam.